GACAGAGGCCACAAGCGUUAGGCGGAAUCACUGGGCUUAAAGCGUGUGUAGGCGGAUCGUUAAGUGCCUUGUGAAAUCCCACGGCUCACCCGUGGAACGGCUGGGCAUACUGGCGGUCUUGAGCCAUCUAGGGGCGACUGGAACAAACGGUGGAGCGGUGAAAUGCGUAGAUAUCGUUUGGAACGCCAACGGUGAAAACAGGUCGCUGGGGAUGUGCUGACGCUGAGACACGAAAGCCAGGGGAGCAAACGGGAUUAGAUACCCCGGUAGUCCUGGCCCUAAACGAUGUCCACUAGAUCGCAGUGCCUCUGACGGUAUUGCGGUCGAAGCCAAAGUGCUAAGUGGACCGCCUGGGAAGUACGGUCGCGAGGCUAAA
RNAcentral lists this ribosomal RNA (376 nucleotides) under uncultured bacterium. Its description in RNAcentral is "bacterial SSU rRNA". It matches the Rfam family "Bacterial small subunit ribosomal RNA", at positions 524 to 898 of the family's 1533-position model. The record is from RNAcentral.